UAUACGCAGGCCAAUGCUUCUAAUUUCAUAGCAAGCGAGCUUGCUAUGAAAUAGGCAACCUGUAAUAUAGGCAAGUGUGUGCUAUUUAUAGCGCUAGCCUACAAACCUAUAAUUAUAUUAACUCUAAGAGAAAUUUAAUAAUAAACGAAGUGAAUUGAAAUAUCUUAGUAACUUUAGGAAAAGAAAUCAAAAGAGAUUCUAUGAUUAGCGUGAGCUAAAAUAGACUAGCCUAAAAAGUCAAAUGGUGGAUAAACUGUUUAAAUUAAAUGGGGAACCUUCCUCAAAGGCUAAAUAUAAUAUAUAAGCGAUAGUGGAAAGUACCGUGAGGGAACCAAAACAAAAACAGUGAUUUUAUAAGCAGUUCGGGAAAAUAAAAAAAAGUUAGAACGUACCUUUUGCAUAAUGGGUCACCAAGUUAACAUUAGAUGCGAGUAGAAGGGAGCUUUAUAAAAAAAAAUAUAUUUUUUUUUUAUAGCCCCGUGCAUACGUAGUUAAACCGAGCGUUAAAAUAACGGUAAGUAUCUAAAGUUAGACCCGAAGCCUGGUGAUUUUACCAUAAUCAGGAUUAUAAAAGUCCGAACGGAAUAUUGUAGCAUAAAUAUCCGAAGAAUUAUGGUAGGUGUAGUGAAAGACAAUACUGACCAGGAUAGCUGGUUUUCUGCGAAACCUAUAACAGUAGGCAAUUUAAGUAUAAUAUCUUAGCAGGUACAGAAUUUAAUCUCAGACAAGACAUAAGGCUUAGCUUGCUAGCAAGUAAAGCUCAUGUUUUAUUUUGUACAAAUUGGGGGAUCAUGAAGAUUUUAUCAGUGAGUAUGUAGACUCGGAAUGGCAAAGAUAUAUCUUAAAUCAUCAGACAUAGAAUGAUAAGGUUGUAUGUCAAAAGGGAAACAGCCCAGAACAAGAGUUAAGGUUCCUAAAUUAUUAGUUGAGUGAAAUUAAGAAGGUUUUUAUUAAAGUCGACAAGGAGAUAGGCUUAGAAGCAGCCAUAAUUUUAUGACCUCGUAACAGAGCGCUUGUUAAGUUUUAAAAGCAUCGAAAAUUUAUCGGAUCUAAACAAUAUACCGAAACCUUGUCCAUAUUAUUUUAUAAUUAAAGCUUAAUUAUAAUUAAAUGGGGUAGCAGAACGUUGAGCUAAAUUAAGAUUUUUAUUUUUUAAAUGAAAUUAUAAUAAUUUAACUCAAGUGAUAAUGGUGACAUGAGUAACUAAAAGAAAAAAUAAAAUUUUUCCGCCUAAAGCUUAUGGAUGUAAUUAAGUAACGGCCUCUAAGUUUAUAUUAUCUAAAGAUUUAAACGAUGAGAUAAUCUUUUGUACUAAGGACGACAUUUUAAGUGAAAAAUGUACUGGAAAAAUAGUACUAAAUUAAUGGCUAUAGCUAAUUAGGGCUAUAAAAAAAUAUAUUUUUUUUAUAAAGCUCGCUAUAGCUAUAAUUGAAAAGUAACCGUACCUAGAAUCUGAAACAAGUAAGCUAGUAGAGAAUACGAAGGCGUAAAUGAGCUAACAAUCAUAAAGGAACUCGGCAAAUUGACUACCGUAACUUCGGGAUAAGGAGAGCUCAUUAUUCUUGAUUAAUAUCAGGUAAAGAGGAAGAAGCAUGAAAUAGUGUUGUACGACUGUUUAAUUAAAACACAGCACUUUGCUGAAAGAUUAAAAAUCUAAGUAUAGAGUGUGAUGUCUGCCCGGUGCCGGCUGGUUAACAGAUAUAAUUAAAUAUACUAAUAUUUGAUGUAGACGGAAACCCCGGUUAAAGGCGGCCUUAACGUGAGGGUCCUAAGGUAGCGAAAUGCCUUGGCCGUUAAAUGCGGUCUUGCAUGAAUGAUGUAACGAUACAACAGCUGUCUCUAUGAUUGACUCAGUGAAAUUGGAAUAGCUGUGCAGAUACAGUUUACCUCUAGUUAGACGAGAAGACCCUAUGCAGCUUUACUGUCACUAAUUAUAGAGUAUGAUAAACAAUUUUCAGAUUAUAAGGUAAUUGACGGCUAGCUUGUUCAGCAAGCUAGCUCUAUGACAAUGAGAAUCCUUUAUUUUUUUUUCAUAUGAAUGAAUUGGUUUAGGAUUAUGAGUAGGUAGCUGCUUCUGCUACUUGGCGCAAGCAUUGCUUGCGUCAGGUGUCUGAAGUAUGCAUUCCAGCUCAUGCAUAGUAAAUCAACCUAAUUCAGCUUAUUUUCCUUUCUGCCAUAAGCGCAUAAUGAUAGAUUUAACUUAAAUUUUGAUUUAUGCCGAGCCCCUCCGGGGCUACUGCAGAAAUAGAUAAGUACCCUUGGCUAAGGAACUAUCGCUAGGGGACAGUUUAUGUGGGGCACAGACCCUGUAAAGAGUAAACAGGAGUGUCUAAUAAUUUAUAAUUAUUUUGUUUGCGAUUUAAGAUAGUGAAACUAUUUUUAAUCAUAUAAAAUUAUUUAUAUGUACAUUCGUUGUAUAUAUAUUUAAAAAAAGGUAGGAUUUUCACUAUAUAGAAAUUAGAGAUAAUAAAAAUAUUAAGAAUAUACGUUUCAGGCAGGGGAGGGGGAAGCUCCUCCUACUGAAAGGUAGCACUAAUAUUUUUUAGCUAUUAAGACAGGCUAUCAAGCUAGGCUCUAAUAGUUAUGUAUUAAUUAUCUAAAAAGCUCAACGGCUAAAUCUUGCCUUACUGUUUGAUUAUCAACAAAUCU
RNAcentral lists this ribosomal RNA (2649 nucleotides) under Fusarium nygamai. Its description in RNAcentral is "bacterial LSU rRNA". The stretch from base 1 to 2307 matches the Rfam family "Bacterial large subunit ribosomal RNA". Lineage: Eukaryota; Fungi; Ascomycota; Sordariomycetes; Hypocreales; Nectriaceae. The record is from RNAcentral.